RNAcentral lists this ribosomal RNA (253 nucleotides) under uncultured bacterium. RNAcentral's name for it is "partial 16S ribosomal RNA". It matches the Rfam family "Bacterial small subunit ribosomal RNA", at positions 524 to 776 of the family's 1533-position model. The record is from RNAcentral.
UACGGAGGGUGCGAGCGUUGUCCGGAAUCACUGGGCGUAAAGGGCGCGUAGGCGGCAGGCCAAGCGUGCGGUGAAAGUCCGGGGCUCAACCCCGGAUCUGCCGUGCGGACUGGUUUGCUAGAGCACUGUAGAGGCGAGUGGAAUUCCGGGUGUAGCGGUGGAAUGCGUAGAGAUCGGGAAGAACAUCAGUGGCGAAGGCGGCCUGCUGGGCUGUUGCUGACGCUGAGGCGCGACAGCGUGGGGAGCAAACAGG